Molecule: ribosomal RNA, 255 nt
Filed under: Enterobacter cloacae
Lineage: Bacteria; Pseudomonadati; Pseudomonadota; Gammaproteobacteria; Enterobacterales; Enterobacteriaceae
Also listed under: 2 other names
Description: partial 16S ribosomal RNA
Rfam family: Bacterial small subunit ribosomal RNA
Source: RNAcentral
CAUGCAAGUCGAACGGUAGCACAGAGAGCUUGCUCUCGGGUGACGAGUGGCGGACGGGUGAGUAAUGUCUGGGAAACUGCCUGAUGGAGGGGGAUAACUACUGGAAACGGUAGCUAAUACCGCAUAACGUCGCAAGACCAAAGAGGGGGACCUUCGGGCCUCUUGCCAUCAGAUGUGCCCAGAUGGGAUUAGCUAGUAGGUGGGGUAACGGCUCACCUAGGCGACGAUCCCUAGCUGGUCUGAGAGGAUGACCAG